GAGCCAGCCAGUUAAUCUGCUUUUCUCCAUGUGCUUCUGCAGAUACUUAGAAAAGGCAGGCAAUAGUGAUGCCAUGUUACGAGCCUUAAGGACAGCUGAAGUCCUUAAGGUCCCUGAAAAUGGCUACAGUA
Small nucleolar RNA from Arvicola amphibius (Eurasian water vole), 131 nucleotides. RefSeq annotates it as small nucleolar RNA SNORA33. Lineage: Eukaryota; Metazoa; Chordata; Mammalia; Rodentia; Cricetidae. The record is from RefSeq and is a predicted model, not a curated record. The transcript has a single exon.